This 433-nucleotide ribosomal RNA is filed under the name uncultured bacterium. Its description in RNAcentral is "partial 16S ribosomal RNA". It matches the Rfam family "Bacterial small subunit ribosomal RNA", at positions 29 to 507 of the family's 1533-position model. The record is from RNAcentral.
AACGAACGCUGGCGGCAUGCCUAACACAUGCAAGUCGAACGAGACCUUCGGGUCUAGUGGCGCACGGGUGCGUAACGCGUGGGAACCUGCCCUUAGGUUCGGAAUAACUCCCCGUAAGGGGUGCUAAUACCGGAUAAUGUCUUCGGACCAAAGAUUUAUCGCCUUUGGAUGGGCCCGCGUUGGAUUAGCUAGUUGGUAGGGUAAAAGCCUACCAAGGCGACGAUCCAUAGCUGGUCUGAGAGGAUGAUCAGCCACACUGGGACUGAGACACGGCCCAGACUCCUACGGGAGGCAGCAGUAGGGAAUAUUGGGCAAUGAGCGAAAGCCUGAUCCAGCAAUGCCGCGUGAGUGAUGAAGGCCGUAGGGUUGUAAAGCUCUUUUACCCGGGAUGAGAAUGACAGUACCGGGAGAAUAAGCUCCGGCUAACUCCGUG